GACAAUUCACCGUACUCCGGCGAGGGAAAGCGGUUCAAAUCCGCUACUGCCCCGCAACUGUGAGACGACACUCCUUGCACGAGCCACUGCCAGAUUGGCGGGAAGGCGAACUUCGAAUUCGGUCGUCAAGUCAGGACACCUCCCGGGGGAAUAACCUUUCG
Molecule: non-coding RNA, 161 nt
Organism: Acidobacteria bacterium 13_1_40CM_56_16
Lineage: Bacteria; Pseudomonadati; Acidobacteriota
Source: Rfam